Molecule: ribosomal RNA, 465 nt
Filed under: Vreelandella stevensii
Lineage: Bacteria; Pseudomonadati; Pseudomonadota; Gammaproteobacteria; Oceanospirillales; Halomonadaceae
Description: partial 16S ribosomal RNA
Rfam family: Bacterial small subunit ribosomal RNA
Source: RNAcentral
CCUACGGGGCGCAGCAGUGGGGAAUAUUGGACAAUGGGCGAAAGCCUGAUCCAGCCAUGCCGCGUGUGUGAAGAAGGCCUUCGGGUUGUAAAGCACUUUCAGUGGGGAAGAAAGCCUUGGGGCUAAUACCCUCGAGGAAGGACAUCACCCACAGAAGAAGCACCGACUAACUCCGUGCCAGCAGCCGCGGUAAUACGGAGGGUGCGAGCGUUAAUCGGAAUUACUGGGCGUAAAGCGCGCGUAGGCGGUCUGAUAAGCCGGUUGUGAAAGCCCCGGGCUCAACCUGGGAACGGCAUCCGGAACUGUCAGGCUAGAGUGCAGGAGAGGAAGGUAGAAUUCCCGGUGUAGCGGUGAAAUGCGUAGAGAUCGGGAGGAAUACCAGUGGCGAAGGCGGCCUUCUGGACUGACACUGACGCUGAGGUGCGAAAGCGUGGGUAGCAAACAGGAUUAGAUACCCGAGUAGUC